RNAcentral lists this ribosomal RNA (1408 nucleotides) under metagenome. Its description in RNAcentral is "bacterial LSU rRNA". It matches the Rfam family "Bacterial large subunit ribosomal RNA", at positions 1521 to 2905 of the family's 2925-position model. The record is from RNAcentral.
UAGGCUGAAAUCUUAGGCAAAUCCGGGAUUUCAAGGCCGAGAGCUGAUGACGAGUUGCCUCUAGGCGACGAAGUGGUUGAUACCAUGCUUCCAAGAAAAGCUCCUAAGCUUCAGAUAACUGGGAACCGUACCCCAAACCGACACAGGUGGUUAGGUAGAGAAUACCAAGGCGCUUGAGAGAACUCGGGUGAAGGAACUAGGCAAAAUGGCACCGUAACUUCGGGAGAAGGUGCGCCGGCGAGGGUGAAGGACUUGCUCCGUAAGCUCAUGCCGGUCGAAGAUACCAGGCCGCUGCGACUGUUUAUUAAAAACACAGCACUCUGCAAACACGAAAGUGGACGUAUAGGGUGUGACGCCUGCCCGGUGCCGGAAGGUUAAUUGAUGGGGUUAGCGCAAGCGAAGCUCUUGAUCGAAGCCCCGGUAAACGGCGGCCGUAACGAUAACGGUCCUAAGGUAGCGAAAUUCCUUGUCGGGUAAGUUCCGACCUGCACGAAUGGCGUAACGAUGGCGGCGCUGUCUCCACCCGAGACUCAGUGAAAUUGAAAUCGCUGUGAAGAUGCAGUGUAUCCGCGGCUAGACGGAAAGACCCCAUGAACCUUUACUAUAGCUUUGCACUGGACUUUGAAUUUGCUUGUGUAGGAUAGGUGGGAGGCUUUGAAGUGGGGACGCCAGUUCUCAUGGAGCCAUCCUUGAAAUACCACCCUGGCAACUUUGAGGUUCUAACUCAGGUCCGUUAUCCGGAUCGAGGACAGUGUAUGGUGGGUAGUUUGACUGGGGCGGUCUCCUCCCAAAGAGUAACGGAGGAGUACGAAGGUGCGCUCAGACCGGUCGGAAAUCGGUCGUAGAGUAUAAAGGCAAAAGCGCGCUUGACUGCGAGACAAACACGUCGAGCAGGUACGAAAGUAGGUCUUAGUGAUCCGGUGGUUCUGUAUGGAAGGGCCAUCGCUCAACGGAUAAAAGGUACUCCGGGGAUAACAGGCUGAUACCGCCCAAGAGUUCAUAUCGACGGCGGUGUUUGGCACCUCGAUGUCGGCUCAUCACAUCCUGGGGCUGAAGCCGGUCCCAAGGGUAUGGCUGUUCGCCAUUUAAAGUGGUACGCGAGCUGGGUUUAGAACGUCGUGAGACAGUUCGGUCCCUAUCUGCCGUGGACGUUUGAGAUUUGAGAGGGGCUGCUCCUAGUACGAGAGGACCGGAGUGGACGAACCUCUGGUGUUCCGGUUGUCACGCCAGUGGCAUUGCCGGGUAGCUAUGUUCGGAAGAGAUAACCGCUGAAAGCAUCUAAGCGGGAAACUUGCCUCAAGAUGAGAUCUCACUGGGAUCUUGAAUCCCCUAAAGGGCCGUCGAAGACUACGACGUUGAUAGGUUGGGUGUGUAAGCGCUGUGAGGCGUUGAGCUAACCAGUACUAAU